AUUGAACGCUGGCGGCAGGCUUAACACAUGCAAGUCGAGCGGGGGAAGGUAGCUUGCUACCGGACCUAGCGGCGGACGGGUGAGUAAUGCUUAGGAAUCUGCCUAUUAGUGGGGGACAACAUCUCGAAAGGGAUGCUAAUACCGCAUACGUCCUACGGGAGAAAGCAGGGGAUCUUCGGACCUUGCGCUAAUAGAUGAGCCUAAGUCGGAUUAGCUAGUUGGUGGGGUAAAGGCCUACCAAGGCGACGAUCUGUAGCGGGUCGGAGAGGAUGAUCCGCCACACUGGGACUGAGACACGGCCCAGACUCCUACGGGAGGCAGCAGUGGGGAAUAUUGGACAAUGGGGGGAACCCUGAUCCAGCCAUGCCGCGUGUGUGAAGGAGGCCUUAUGGUUGUAAAGCACUUUAAGCGAGGAGGAGGCUACUUUAGUUAAUACCUAGAGAUAGUGGACGUUACUCGCAGAAUAAGCACCGGCUAACUCUGUGCCAGCAGCCGCCGUAA
RNAcentral lists this ribosomal RNA (501 nucleotides) under uncultured bacterium. Its description in RNAcentral is "partial 16S ribosomal RNA". It matches the Rfam family "Bacterial small subunit ribosomal RNA", at positions 30 to 523 of the family's 1533-position model. The record is from RNAcentral.